Molecule: small nuclear RNA, 106 nt
Organism: Callithrix jacchus (white-tufted-ear marmoset)
Lineage: Eukaryota; Metazoa; Chordata; Mammalia; Primates; Cebidae
Source: Ensembl
GUGCUUCCUUCAGCAGCACAUAAACUAAAAGUGGAACAAUACAGAGAAGAUUGGCUGGCCUCUGUACAAGGGUGACAUAAAAAUUAGUGAAGCAUUUCAUAUUUUU